This 253-nucleotide ribosomal RNA is filed under the name uncultured bacterium. RNAcentral's name for it is "partial 16S ribosomal RNA". It matches the Rfam family "Bacterial small subunit ribosomal RNA", at positions 524 to 776 of the family's 1533-position model. The record is from RNAcentral.
UACGUAUGGUGCGAGCGUUAAUCGGAAUUACUGGGCGUAAAGCGUGCGCAGGCGGUUGUACAAGUCAGGUGUGAAAUCCCCGGGCUUAACCUGGGAACUGCACUUGUGACUGUACGACUGGAGUACGGCAGAGGGGGAUGGAAUUCCGCGUGUAGCAGUGAAAUGCGUAGAUAUGCGGAGGAACACCGAUGGCGAAGGCAAUCCCCUGGGCCUGUACUGACGCUCAUGCACGAAAGCGUGGGGAGCAAACAGG